RNAcentral lists this long non-coding RNA (644 nucleotides) under Setaria italica (foxtail millet). RNAcentral describes it as "long non-coding RNA (SITA_LNC000681)". Lineage: Eukaryota; Viridiplantae; Streptophyta; Magnoliopsida; Poales; Poaceae. The record is from RNAcentral.
GGCACAAUCAUAUCAUUACUUGUUAAAAAUGUCGACCUUGACUCGAAACAGGAUAAGGAUGAAAUGGAUCGAUGACGAACCAAUAUUCCCCUACUACAAAAAUUAAAAUAAAAUAAAAAAUCAGUGCCAUGGUAUUGUUCCCGGUCGUAAACACUGAACUGCUCAGAGCAUCUGCUUGCAUCAGAUGCGGAUCAUACCAUCAGGAGUCAGAUGACAGAGCACUCCAACGCAAUGCAACGAGUACGUGCUGUGUACUGCUGGUGAGUUGGCCACUCGCUUUCAUGGGGUGGUGAUGCCUUCGCCCUUGGGACUUGGGGAAGAGACCAAAACCACGUGUGCACACGAAUUGUCAGUUUGUCCCGCCCGUUGUCACCACGUAACAGAUGCUGUUUCUGAUGUAUCGCCAUGGAAAAAGAUGAUGGCUUGAUGAGCUCGGAGAGUGUAUUAUAAUCUCAAAGGCAUGCAUCAAGUGCUGUACCAAACAAUGCAGCGGAAAAAAGACGAUCGCGCCUGAUUAUCUCAACAUUAUCAAUGCAAUCCUCGUUUUAAUUUAGUGUCAGAAAACAAAAGGCACUUUCGCAGGCCAUCAUAGUCAUCAGGAAGAUGCAUGAUACGUACCAGGCACAUUGGAUGGUCACACGAAC